This 465-nucleotide ribosomal RNA is filed under the name uncultured bacterium. Its description in RNAcentral is "partial 16S ribosomal RNA". It matches the Rfam family "Bacterial small subunit ribosomal RNA", at positions 28 to 507 of the family's 1533-position model. The record is from RNAcentral.
GACGAACGCUGGCGGCGUGCUUAACACAUGCAAGUCGAACGGAAAGGCCCUGCUUGCCGGGUACUCGAGUGGCGAACGGGUGAGUAACACGUGGGUGAUCUGCCCUGCACUUCGGGAUAAGCCUGGGAAACUGGGUCUAAUACCGGAUAGUAGCCAUUUUUAGUGUGAUGGUUGGAAAGUUUUUUCGGUGUAGGAUGAGCUCGCGGCCUAUCAGCUUGUUGGUGGGGUAAUGGCCUACCAAGGCGGCGACGGGUAGCCGGCCGGAGAGGGUGGACGGCCACAUUGGGACUGAGAUACGGCCCAGACUCCUACGGGAGGCAGCAGUGGGGAAUAUUGCACAAUGGGCGCAAGCCUGAUGCAGCGACGCCGCGUGGGGGAGGACGGCCUUCGGGUUGUAAACUCCUUUCGCUAGGGACGAAGCUUUUUGUGACGGUACCUAGAGAAGAAGCACCGGCUAACUACGUG